RNAcentral lists this ribosomal RNA (1540 nucleotides) under Klebsiella pneumoniae. Its description in RNAcentral is "bacterial SSU rRNA". It matches the Rfam family "Bacterial small subunit ribosomal RNA". The record is from RNAcentral. Lineage: Bacteria; Pseudomonadati; Pseudomonadota; Gammaproteobacteria; Enterobacterales; Enterobacteriaceae.
AAAUUGAAGAGUUUGAUCAUGGCUCAGAUUGAACGCUGGCGGCAGGCCUAACACAUGCAAGUCGAGCGGUAGCACAGAGAGCUUGCUCUCGGGUGACGAGCGGCGGACGGGUGAGUAAUGUCUGGGAAACUGCCUGAUGGAGGGGGAUAACUACUGGAAACGGUAGCUAAUACCGCAUAAUGUCGCAAGACCAAAGUGGGGGACCUUCGGGCCUCAUGCCAUCAGAUGUGCCCAGAUGGGAUUAGCUAGUAGGUGGGGUAAUGGCUCACCUAGGCGACGAUCCCUAGCUGGUCUGAGAGGAUGACCAGCCACACUGGAACUGAGACACGGUCCAGACUCCUACGGGAGGCAGCAGUGGGGAAUAUUGCACAAUGGGCGCAAGCCUGAUGCAGCCAUGCCGCGUGUGUGAAGAAGGCCUUCGGGUUGUAAAGCACUUUCAGCGGGGAGGAAGGCGGUGAGGUUAAUAACCUCAUCGAUUGACGUUACCCGCAGAAGAAGCACCGGCUAACUCCGUGCCAGCAGCCGCGGUAAUACGGAGGGUGCAAGCGUUAAUCGGAAUUACUGGGCGUAAAGCGCACGCAGGCGGUCUGUCAAGUCGGAUGUGAAAUCCCCGGGCUUAACCUGGGAACUGCAUUCGAAACUGGCAGGCUAGAGUCUUGUAGAGGGGGGUAGAAUUCCAGGUGUAGCGGUGAAAUGCGUAGAGAUCUGGAGGAAUACCGGUGGCGAAGGCGGCCCCCUGGACAAAGACUGACGCUCAGGUGCGAAAGCGUGGGGAGCAAACAGGAUUAGAUACCCUGGUAGUCCACGCCGUAAACGAUGUCGAUUUGGAGGUUGUGCCCUUGAGGCGUGGCUUCCGGAGCUAACGCGUUAAAUCGACCGCCUGGGGAGUACGGCCGCAAGGUUAAAACUCAAAUGAAUUGACGGGGGCCCGCACAAGCGGUGGAGCAUGUGGUUUAAUUCGAUGCAACGCGAAGAACCUUACCUGGUCUUGACAUCCACAGAACUUUCCAGAGAUGGAUUGGUGCCUUCGGGAACUGUGAGACAGGUGCUGCAUGGCUGUCGUCAGCUCGUGUUGUGAAAUGUUGGGUUAAGUCCCGCAACGAGCGCAACCCUUAUCCUUUGUUGCCAGCGGUCCGGCCGGGAACUCAAAGGAGACUGCCAGUGAUAAACUGGAGGAAGGUGGGGAUGACGUCAAGUCAUCAUGGCCCUUACGACCAGGGCUACACACGUGCUACAAUGGCAUAUACAAAGAGAAGCGACCUCGCGAGAGCAAGCGGACCUCAUAAAGUAUGUCGUAGUCCGGAUUGGAGUCUGCAACUCGACUCCAUGAAGUCGGAAUCGCUAGUAAUCGUAGAUCAGAAUGCUACGGUGAAUACGUUCCCGGGCCUUGUACACACCGCCCGUCACACCAUGGGAGUGGGUUGCAAAAGAAGUAGGUAGCUUAACCUUCGGGAGGGCGCUUACCACUUUGUGAUUCAUGACUGGGGUGAAGUCGUAACAAGGUAACCGUAGGGGAACCUGCGGUUGGAUCACCUCCUUA